UAGUAUAGAGGAUGGAACGGGCAGCCAUCGCCUUUGUGGAGAUGAGGAUUGUCACCCUCCUAUACUU
This 67-nucleotide non-coding RNA is filed under the name unclassified sequences. RNAcentral's name for it is "skipping-rope RNA". It matches the Rfam family "skipping-rope RNA". Rfam says of the family: Firmicutes, Fusobacteria, AlphaProteobacteria, Spirochaetes. Downstream gene The record is from Rfam by way of RNAcentral.